This 303-nucleotide unclassified non-coding RNA is filed under the name Glomeromycotina sp. RNAcentral's name for it is "partial contains small subunit ribosomal RNA, internal transcribed spacer 1, and 5.8S ribosomal RNA". The stretch from base 1 to 47 matches the Rfam family "Eukaryotic small subunit ribosomal RNA", at positions 1785 to 1831 of the family's 1831-position model. Lineage: Eukaryota; Fungi; Glomeromycota. The record is from RNAcentral.
AAAGUCGUAACAAGGUUUCCGUAGGUGAACCUGCGGAAGGAUCAUUAACACUUUUUAUCCAAAUAUAAAAACUAAACGUGAACUUUUCCCCUCCCUAUAUCAAAAACAUUGUGUUUUGAUAUAGGCUAACAUUUUUAUUUUAUUUCAAACCACUUUAACUUUUUAUAAGUCUUUGAAAAAGGACUGACUAACUAAAAAUUUUACUUAAGAUGUCACACGUUGAUCUCUUAAUUAAUAUUUUUUCUUUACGAAAUAAAUAUUAGUAUAUAAGAACAACUCUUAGCAAUGGAUAUCUUGGUUCUC